RNAcentral lists this ribosomal RNA (269 nucleotides) under uncultured prokaryote. Its description in RNAcentral is "partial 16S ribosomal RNA". It matches the Rfam family "Bacterial small subunit ribosomal RNA", at positions 524 to 792 of the family's 1533-position model. The record is from RNAcentral.
UACGGAGGAUCCGAGCGUUAUCCGGAUUUAUUGGGUUUAAAGGGUGCGUAGGUGGAUUGGUAAGUCAGUGGUGAAAGUUUGCAGCUUAACUGUAAAAUUGCCGUUGAAACUGCCGGUCUUGAGUGCAAAUGAGGUGGGCGGAAUGCGUCGUGUAGCGGUGAAAUGCUUAGAUAUCACGAGGAACUCCGAUUGCGCAGGCAGCUUACUAAACUACUACUGACGCUCAGGCACGAAGGCGUGGGGAUCAAACAGGAUUAGAUACCCUAGUA